RNAcentral lists this ribosomal RNA (487 nucleotides) under uncultured bacterium. Its description in RNAcentral is "bacterial SSU rRNA". It matches the Rfam family "Bacterial small subunit ribosomal RNA", at positions 24 to 507 of the family's 1533-position model. The record is from RNAcentral.
UCAGAUUGAACGCUGGCGGAAUGCUUUACACAUGCAAGUCGAACGGCAGCACGGGGGCAACCUGGUGGCGAGUGGCGAACGGGUGAGUAAUACAUCGGAACGUGCCCAAUCGUGGGGGAUAACGUAGCGAAAGUUACGCUAAUACCGCAUACGAUCUACGGAUGAAAGCGGGGGAUCGCAAGACCUCGCGCGAGUGGAGCGGCCGAUGUCAGAUUAGGUAGUUGGUGGGGUAAAGGCUCACCAAGCCAACGAUCUGUAGCUGGUCUGAGAGGACGACCAGCCACACUGGAACUGAGACACGGUCCAGACUCCUACGGGAGGCAGCAGUGGGGAAUUUUGGACAAUGGGCGCAAGCCUGAUCCAGCCAUUCCGCGUGCAGGAUGAAGGCCUUCGGGUUGUAAACUGCUUUUGUACGGAACGAAACGGCGAGCUCUAAUACAGUUUGCUAAUGACGGUACCGUAAGAAUAAGCACCGGCUAACUACGUG